Molecule: ribosomal RNA, 253 nt
Filed under: uncultured bacterium
Lineage: Bacteria
Description: partial 16S ribosomal RNA
Rfam family: Bacterial small subunit ribosomal RNA
Source: RNAcentral
UACGUAGGGAGCGAGCGUUGUCCGGAAUUACUGGGCGUAAAGGGUGCGUAGGCGGCGAAGCAAGUCAGAUGUGAAAUCCCCGGGCUUAACUCGGGGGGUGCAUUUGAAACUGCUUUGCUUGAGUGCAGGAGAGGAAAGCGGAAUUCCUAGUGUAGCGGUGAAAUGCGUAGAUAUUAGGAAGAACACCAGUGGCGAAGGCGGCUUUCUGGACUGUAACUGACGCUGAGGCACGAAAGCGUGGGGAGCAAACAGG